RNAcentral lists this ribosomal RNA (1444 nucleotides) under metagenome. Its description in RNAcentral is "bacterial SSU rRNA". It matches the Rfam family "Archaeal small subunit ribosomal RNA". The record is from RNAcentral.
GCUGAUCCUGCUGGAGGAUACUGCUAUCGAAAUCCGAUUUAGACAUGCAAGUCUUAAAGACGUAUACGGCGUCUUUGGCGAACGGCUCAGUAACACGUGGGUAAUCUACCCUUGGGAUUUGUUAAACCCGGGAAACUGGGGUCAAUGCAUAAUAGGCAACUUGUACUGGAAUGUCUUGCUGCCCAAAGCUCUCGCACCAUGCGAGCAAGCGCCCAAGGAUGAGCCUGCGGUGGAUUAGGUCGUUGGCGGGGUAAAUGCCCACCAAGCCUUUGAUCCAUACGGGCCUUGAGAGAGGUAGCCCGGAGAAGGACACUGAGAUAAGGGUCCUAGCCCCACGGGGUGCAGCAGUCGCGGAACCUUUACAAUGCGCGAAAGCGUGAUAGGGGGAUUUCGAGUGCAAGCUUUGCUUGCUUUUGCCAAGCCCAAAAAGCUUGGCGAAUAAAUGGGGGGCAAGAUACGUGCCAGCCGCCGCGGUAACACGUACUCCAUGAGUGGUAUCCACUUAUAUUGGGCCUAAAACGUCCGUAGCUUGCCCGAAAAGUCCUCGGUGAAAGCAGCAGGCUUAACUUGCUGAAUUGCCAAGGAUACUAUCGGGCUAGAGGCCGGAAGAGGUCAAGGGAAUUUCAGGGGUAGCGGUGAAAUGUUAUGAUCCUUGAAAGACCUCCAGUAGCGAAGGCGCUUGACCAGAACGGUCCUGACAGUGAGGGACGAAAGCUGGGGGAGCGACCCGGAUUAGAUACCCGGUUAGUCCCAGCCGUAAACGAUGUGGACUUGGUGUCCUAGCACUUACUAAGGUGCAGGGGUGCCGUAGGGAAGCCGUUAAGUCCACUGCCAGGGAAGUACGCUCGCAAGGGUGAAACUUAAUGGAAUUGGCGGGAGCUCACUACAAGGGGUGGAUGCUGCGGUUCAAUUGGAUAAAACCCCAGAUAAUCUUACCAGGGCCGACAGCAGGAUGAUGGACAGUCUGAAGGGCUUUCCUGACACGCUGAGAGGUGUUGUAUGGUCAUCGUCAGCUCGUACUAUGAAGCGUCCUGUUAACUCAGGCAACGGGCGAGACCCAAUCCCAUAGUUGCUAUUCUCCAAUUUGGGGGAGCACUCUAUGGGGACUGCAGUGGUAACACUGAGGAAGGACUGGGCUACGGUAGAUCUGUAUGGCCCGAAUGCCCUGGGCUACACGCGGCAUACAAUGGCUGAGACAAUGAGUUCCGAACCCGAAAGGGCAAGGUAAUCCCCUAAAAUCAGCCUUAGUUCGGAUCGAGGGUUGUAACCCACCCUCGUGAAAAUGGAAUCCCCAGUAAUCGCGCUUCAUUAUAGCGCGGUGAAUAAGUCCCUGAGCUUUGCACACACCGCCCAUCAAGCCAGUUGAGUGGAGUUUAGAUGAGCUAUCUUCAUAAGAAAAUCGCGAUUCUGAGCUUCGCAAGACGGGCUAAGUUGUAACAAGGUG